CAGUCGAGCGAGACCUUCGGGUCUAGCGGCGGACGGGUGAGUAACGCGUGGGAACGUGCCCUUUGCUACGGAAUAGUCCCGGGAAACUGGGUUUAAUACCGUAUGUGCCCUUCGGGGGAAAGAUUUAUCGGCAAAGGAUCGGCCCGCGUUGGAUUAGGUAGUUGGUGGGGUAAUGGCCUACCAAGCCGACGAUCCAUAGCUGGUUUGAGAGGAUGAUCAGCCACACUGGGACUGAGACACGGCCCAGACUCCUACGGGAGGCAGCAGUGGGGAAUCUUAGACAAUGGGGGCAACCCUGAUCUAGCCAUGCCGCGUGAGUGAUGAAGGCCUUAGGGUUGUAAAGCUCUUUCAGCUGGGAAGAUAAUGACGGUACCAGCAGAAGAAGCCCCGGCUAACUCCGUGCCAGCAGCCGCGGUAAUACGGAGGGGGCUAGCGUUGUUCGGAAUUACUGGGCGUAAAGCGCACGUAGGCGGACUGGAAAGUUGGGGGUGAAAUCCCGGGGCUCAACCUCGGAACUGCCUUCAAAACUAUCAGUCUGGAGUUCGAGAGAGGUGAGUGGAAUACCGAGUGUAGAGGUGAAAUUCGUAGAUAUUCGGUGGAACA
This 603-nucleotide ribosomal RNA is filed under the name uncultured bacterium. RNAcentral's name for it is "bacterial SSU rRNA". It matches the Rfam family "Bacterial small subunit ribosomal RNA", at positions 59 to 708 of the family's 1533-position model. The record is from RNAcentral.